UACGUAGGGUGCAAGCGUUAAUCGGAAUCACUGGGCGUAAAGGGUGCGUAGGCGGGUCUUUAAGUCAGAGGUGAAAUCCUGGAGCUCAACUCCAGAACUGCCUUUGAUACUGAGGAUCUUGAGUACGGGAGAGGUGAGUGGAACUGCGAGUGUAGAGGUGAAAUUCGUAGAUAUUCGCAAGAACACCAGUGGCGAAGGCGGCUCACUGGCCCGUAACUGACGCUGAGGCACGAAAGCGUGGGGAGCAAACAGG
Molecule: ribosomal RNA, 253 nt
Filed under: uncultured bacterium
Lineage: Bacteria
Description: partial 16S ribosomal RNA
Rfam family: Bacterial small subunit ribosomal RNA
Source: RNAcentral